RNAcentral lists this non-coding RNA (67 nucleotides) under Conexibacter woesei. Lineage: Bacteria; Bacillati; Actinomycetota; Thermoleophilia; Solirubrobacterales; Conexibacteraceae. RNAcentral also lists the same sequence under 1 other name. The record is from RNAcentral.
UUCCGGUCGCCAUCACGUGCGACCCCGGACGAGACGCGCCGUACCCGGUCUGCCAAGACGACGCGCA